UGACGUAAAGGACAUUCAUUGUUCAUAGACUUUCUCAUAUCUAAGUUUCUUUUCAACCCACAAUUAAAAGCCCAUUUUCUCUCUCUCUCUCUUCUUCUUGCCGUCGAAUUAGCAGAUCUCUUUCGCCGAUUAUCUUCUCCGAUCGUCGAUUUUCAGGUGUUUGGUCAAUUAAAUUUAAGAAGAUGACUACUGAUGAGCAAGAUCAAGAUGUCAUUCGGUGGGGUUUGAAUCUUCUUGAUUUUGGCCCUUUGUUCAAUAAUACUUAUGGGAAUGAAUAUAAUUCAGAAGAUGGGAGCAUCUAUCAUGGGCAAUAUAUGAGAGAGUACAACUAUGAUACAUCGUGUAACUCUGGCUGUAACUAUGUAGAAAAUGAUGCAAUAAUCGCGCAUACUCUACAAGAAGAAUUUUCACGAUUGGAAGUUGAUAAUGGAGCUCAGUCCUCACAUGCAGAACAAGAGCAAUUUCAUUCAUCCAAUAUUUCAUCAGACUGGCUUGUACCAUCCUCUACCAAUUACUGUACUGUUAAUGAGAACUCCCAGGAAGCAGAUGAUACAGGACAUUCGAGUUCUUGUUCCAGUCCAGGAGAGAGAUCGAAUGAUGGUGAAGAUCAUUCGUAUUAUUUGGAAUUUGCAGAUGAGUCUGCACUUGAUGGAGAAUUGGGGAAGAGGUUAAACCAAAUGAUCCCUGUGCCACAUGUCCCUCGAAUUAAUGGAGAAAUACCUUCAAUGGAUGAGGCAACUUCAGAUCAUCAAAGACUAUUAGAUAGAUUGCAGUUGUAUGACUUGGUUGAACGCAAGGUCCAAGGGGAUGGCAAUUGCCAGUUUCGUGCUUUGUCAGAUCAAUUCUAUCGUACUCCAGAGCACCACAAAUUUGUGAGGCAACAGGUUGUCAAUCAGCUCAAGUCAGAACCAGAGCACUACGAGGGAUAUGUUCCCAUGGAGUAUGGUGAAUACUUGAACAAGAUGUCCAAGAGUGGUGAAUGGGGAGAUCAUGUCACCUUGCAGGCAGCUGCUGAUUCGUAUGGUGUUAAGAUAUUUCUCAUAACUUCUUUCAAGGACACCUGUUAUAUGGAGAUUAUUCCGAAGGUUCAAAAGUCAAAACGAGUCAUCUUUUUAAGCUUUUGGGCAGAAGUACACUACAACUCGAUCUAUCCACAAGGAGAUGUGGAAAUGCAUUGAAUUGGAGUUUUCAUUCGACAUCUUAUGGUUGUUUAUGAGACUAGAAAUGGAGAGUUGCCACCUCCGUGGGAGAUGAAAAAGAAGAAAAAAUGGUGGCUUUUUGGAAACAAUUGAUGAGAUAGGCAUUUAUACGGAUGCUUUUAACACUUCUAAGUUCUAAUUCAUCUGUAUAUAUGAGUCUAGGGCAGCCAUGCGAGCAGCGCUUCUUCAGUUGCAAUAAUCUCUUAUUCUUUCGUUGUAUUUCUCACUUGCAGCAUUGGCGAAUAUUGUGCAGGUGAUGAGAAUGAGCCUUGAGCACAACAUAUAUAUGGCCUAUAUGGUUGGCGUGCUUUUUGAUUUCGCAUGCCAUUUUAUUUGUUUUCUCCA
This is an RNA transcript of Beta vulgaris subsp. vulgaris (sugar beet), 1544 nucleotides long. It is a transcript of the gene named OVARIAN TUMOR DOMAIN-containing deubiquitinating enzyme 12, with no coding region annotated. NCBI's taxonomy places the organism in Eukaryota, Viridiplantae, Streptophyta, Magnoliopsida, Caryophyllales, Amaranthaceae. The record is from RefSeq and is a predicted model, not a curated record. The transcript is spliced from 12 exons.